AUUGAACGCUGGCGGCAGGCCUAACACAUGCAAGUCGAACGGUAACAGGAAGAAGCUUGCUUCUUUGCUGACGAGUGGCGGACGGGUGAGUAAUGUCUGGGAAACUGCCUGAUGGAGGGGGAUAACUACUGGAAACGGUAGCUAAUACCGCAUAACGUCGCAAGACCAAAAAGGGGGACCUUCGGGCCUCUUGCCAUCGGAUGUGCCCAGAUGGGAUUAGCUAGUAGGUGGGGUAACGGCUCACCUAGGCGACGAUCCCUAGCUGGUCUGAGAGGAUGACCAGCCACCCUGGAACUGAGCCACGGUCCAGACUCCUACGGGAGGCAGCAGUGGGGAAUAUUGCACAAUGGGCGCAAGCCUGAUGCAGCCAUGCCGCGUGUAUGAAGAAGGCCUUCGGGUUGUAAAGUACUUUCAGCGGGGAGGAAGGGAGUAAAGUUAAUACCUUUGCUCAUUGACGUUACCCGCAGAAGAAGCACCGGCUAACUCCGUG
This 490-nucleotide ribosomal RNA is filed under the name uncultured bacterium. RNAcentral's name for it is "partial 16S ribosomal RNA". It matches the Rfam family "Bacterial small subunit ribosomal RNA", at positions 30 to 507 of the family's 1533-position model. The record is from RNAcentral.